Molecule: non-coding RNA, 45 nt
Organism: Echinostoma caproni
Lineage: Eukaryota; Metazoa; Platyhelminthes; Trematoda; Plagiorchiida; Echinostomatidae
Source: Rfam
GCAUUGCUGACGAGUCCCAAAUGAGACGAAAGAGCUGUCCAGUGC